This 579-nucleotide ribosomal RNA is filed under the name Triticum aestivum (bread wheat). RNAcentral's name for it is "partial small subunit ribosomal RNA". Lineage: Eukaryota; Viridiplantae; Streptophyta; Magnoliopsida; Poales; Poaceae. The record is from RNAcentral.
AUGGAUCCAAAUUCAAGUUAUUUGCUAAAAAUCAAAUUGUUUGGCAAUAAAAAGAAAGCUCGAAAAGACAUCUGAUGUUUUUGUUUUGAUAAGGUAAUUGAUUGUGACUUGACAAACUAUAAGGAUUUGGUUGAAUCAAUUGUAGAGCAGUACCCUCCGGGUUAUAUGGAAGCUGCACAUGUGCGGUACUAUGAUGAUGCUUUAAACAUUCCAGAAGUAAAAUCUGACCAAGAUUUAAUGCUUAUGUUUGAGAAACACUUAGAGACAAAGGUGUUGCAUAUUAGUAUUGCAUAUUGUGAUCCGUCUGAACCAUAUGAGCCUAUCAACGAGUGGCAUAGUGAUGUGCAUAGCCAACCUAAUGACAGUACAGAACAAGAGGAUGAUACUUACAUUCGCAACCCAAGAUCAGAGAAUAAGCAUGUUAGUGUUGAUGAGGAGAAUAUGUAUGAAGUGGAUGAACCUAUGCCCUUAAAUGUGGUUCUUUGUCCUAAUAAAGAAAAGGACAAAGACUUUGUUUUUGAGGAUGACAGCGAGGUUGAGAGUGAAGUAGAGGAUGAUGAAGUAGAGGAGGCUGGAUGA